CAGUAGCCACGGUAAUACGAAGGGGGCUAGCGCUGCUCGGAAUUACUGGGCGUAAAGGGAGCGUAGGCGGGUCGUUUAGUCAGAGGUGAAAUCCCGGGGCUCAACCUCGGAACUGCCUUUGAUACUGGCGACCUUGAGGAUGGGAGAGGUAAGCGGAACUCCGAGUGUAGAGGUGAAAUUCGUAGAUAUUCGGAAGAACACCAGUGGCGAAGGCGGCUUACUGGCCCAUUACUGACGCUGAGGCUCGAAAGCGUGGGGAGCAAACAGGAUUAGAUACCCCCGUAGUCCCUGUCUCUUAUAC
Molecule: ribosomal RNA, 301 nt
Filed under: uncultured bacterium
Lineage: Bacteria
Description: partial 16S ribosomal RNA
Rfam family: Bacterial small subunit ribosomal RNA
Source: RNAcentral